GGGCCCGCACAAGCGGUGGAGUAUGUGGUUUAAUUCGAUGCAACGCGAAGAACCUUACCAGGGUUUGACAUCCUGCGAAUCUCUUGGAAACGAGAGAGUGCCUUCGGGAGCGCAGUGACAGGUGGUGCAUGGCUGUCGUCAGCUCGUGUCGUGAGAUGUUGGGUUAAGUCCCGCAACGAGCGCAACCCACGUCUUUAGUUGCCAGCAGUUCGGCUGGGCACUCUAUGGAAACUGCCCGUGAUAAGCGGGAGGAAGGUGUGGAUGACGUCAAGUCCUCAUGGCCCUUACAUCCUGGGCUACACACGUACUACAAUGCUACGGACAAAGGGCAGCAAACUCGCGAGAGCUAGCAAAUCCCAUAAACCGUGGCUCAGUUCAGAUCGUAGGCUGCAACUCGCCUACGUGAAGGAGGAAUCGCUAGUAAUCGC
RNAcentral lists this ribosomal RNA (428 nucleotides) under uncultured bacterium. RNAcentral's name for it is "bacterial SSU rRNA". It matches the Rfam family "Bacterial small subunit ribosomal RNA", at positions 917 to 1345 of the family's 1533-position model. The record is from RNAcentral.